This 253-nucleotide ribosomal RNA is filed under the name uncultured bacterium. Its description in RNAcentral is "partial 16S ribosomal RNA". It matches the Rfam family "Bacterial small subunit ribosomal RNA", at positions 524 to 776 of the family's 1533-position model. The record is from RNAcentral.
CACGUAGGGCGCAAGCGUUGUCCGGAAUUAUUGGGCGUAAAGAGCUCGUAGGCGGUCUGUUACGUCUGCUGUGAAAACCCGGGGCUUAACCCUGGGCUUGCAGUGGAUACGGGCAGACUAGAGGCAGGUAGGGGAGAAUGGAAUUCCCGGUGUAGUGGUGGAAUGCGUAGAUAUCGGGAGGAACACCAGUGGCGAAGGCGGUUGCCUGGAGCUUUGCUGACGCUGAGGCGCGAAAGCGUGGGGAGCGAUCCGG